RNAcentral lists this transfer RNA (72 nucleotides) under Camelus bactrianus (Bactrian camel). It matches the Rfam family "tRNA". From Rfam's summary of the family: Transfer RNA (tRNA) molecules are approximately 80 nucleotides in length. The record is from Rfam by way of RNAcentral. Lineage: Eukaryota; Metazoa; Chordata; Mammalia; Artiodactyla; Camelidae. RNAcentral also lists the same sequence under 2 other names.
UGAGGGGAGGCUUAGUGGUAGAGCGCAUGCUUAGCAUGCAUGAGGUCCUGGGUUCAAUCCCCAGUACCUCCA